CCUACGGGAGGCAGCAGUGAGGAAUAUUGAUCAAUGGACGAGAGUCUGAACCAGCCACGUAGCGUGAAGGAUGAAUGACCUCUGGGUUGUAAACUUCUUUUAUAUGGGAAUAAAAUGUUCCACGUGUGGGAUUUUGUAUGUACAAUAUGAAUACGGAUCGGCUAACUCCGUGCCAGCCGCCGCGGUAAUACGGAGGCUACGAGCGUUAUCCGGAUUUAUUGGGUUUAAAGGGAGCGUAGGUGGAUUGUUAAGUCAGUUGUGAAAGUUUGCGGCUCAACCGUAAAAUUGCAGUUGAAACUGGCAGUCUUGAGUACAGUAGAGGUAGGCGGAAUUCGUGGUGUAGCGGUGAAAUGCUUAGAUAUCACGAAGAACUCCGGUUGCGAAGGCAGUUCACUGGACUGCAACUGACACUGAGGCUCGAAAGUGUGGGUAGCAAACAGGAUUAGAUACCCGGGUAGUC
RNAcentral lists this ribosomal RNA (460 nucleotides) under uncultured bacterium. RNAcentral describes it as "partial 16S ribosomal RNA". It matches the Rfam family "Bacterial small subunit ribosomal RNA", at positions 338 to 795 of the family's 1533-position model. The record is from RNAcentral.